UACGGAAGGCAGCAGUGGGGAAUAUUGCACAAUGGGCGAAAGCCUGAUGCAGCUAUGCCGCGUGUAUGAAGAAGGCCUUAGGGUUGUAAAGUACUUUCAUCGGGGAGGAAAAAACAAAACUAAUAAUUUUAUUUCUUGACGUUACCCGAAAAAGAAGCACCGGCUAACUCCGUGCCAGCAGCCGCGGUAAUACGGAGGGUGCUAGCGUUAAUCAGAAUUACUGGGCGUAAAGAGCACGUAGGUGGUUUUUUUAAGUCAGAUGUGAAAUCCCUGGGCUUAACCUGGAACUGCAUUUUGAAACUGAAAUACUAGAGUAUCGUAGAGGGAGGUAGAAUUCUAGGUGUAGCGGUGAAAUGCGUAGAUAUCUGGAGGAAUACCUGUGGCGAAAGCGGCCUCCUAAACGAAUACUGACACUGAGGGUGCGAAAGCGUGGGGAGCGAAACAGGGAUUAGGAUACC
Molecule: ribosomal RNA, 458 nt
Filed under: uncultured bacterium
Lineage: Bacteria
Description: bacterial SSU rRNA
Rfam family: Bacterial small subunit ribosomal RNA
Source: RNAcentral